AAACGAUGCUUAUUUCUCUGUCUCUCGUUCUCAACGCGUCUCUGACCCACUCCCCUGCUUCACUACUUCGAUGCAGCAAAUUUUCAAGUACAAAGGACUCUUCUCAUGAACUCUGCACCUCCAACCCUCUUUUGAUCGUGAACCUAGCAAAUCACACCCCCCACCCCCAAUACAUUUCUCUUUCCAUGCCUCUCAUUCUCAUUAAACCCAUCUCGAACAGAACACACCCUCAACCCUGCUACGCAUUCCAUUCCUCCACCAGGAUAUCUUGUACUUACUCGCACAGUGCCUUCACUCCCCCUUCCUUUAGUGGCUUACACUGCAACAGGUGGUGGAUCUGCGGGUCCGAAUCACCAUCGGACGGCAUCGUUUGCUGCCGCUUUCUUUUUAGUUCAAUUUUUUUUUAUUUAAUUAGUAAUGGAGAUUAGAGGUAUUGGGUUUUGAGCACAGAUCAUGGCAUGGAGAUUUGGGUUGGGGUUAGGAUUAAGCUCCAUCAUUGACGAAGACAAUCAUCCCCAAUAACUGCAUGUAGUCAAUUUACCUGCUAUCCAAUUCUAGUGCCGUUAAAUCAGGUUUAUUAUUCUUCUGCUAUAUUAUUUUAUUUAUAUCUCGU
Molecule: unclassified non-coding RNA, 613 nt
Filed under: Hevea brasiliensis (rubber tree)
Lineage: Eukaryota; Viridiplantae; Streptophyta; Magnoliopsida; Malpighiales; Euphorbiaceae
Source: RNAcentral